Molecule: ribosomal RNA, 253 nt
Filed under: uncultured bacterium
Lineage: Bacteria
Description: partial 16S ribosomal RNA
Rfam family: Bacterial small subunit ribosomal RNA
Source: RNAcentral
UACGUAGGGACCAAGCGUUGUCCGGAAUCAUUGGGCGUAAAGAGCGUGUAGGCGGCCUGUUAAGUCUUGCGUGAAAUCUCGGGGCUCAACCCCGAGCGGUCGUGAGAAACUGGCAGGCUAGAGUGCGGGAGAGGAGAGUGGAAUUCCUGGUGUAGCGGUGAAAUGCGCAGAUAUCAGGAGGAACACCGGUGGCGAAGGCGGAUCUCUGGGCCUUACCUGACGCUGAGGCGCGAAAGCUAGGGGAGCGAACAGG